This 1719-nucleotide ribosomal RNA is filed under the name Escherichia coli. Its description in RNAcentral is "partial 23S ribosomal RNA". It matches the Rfam family "Bacterial large subunit ribosomal RNA", at positions 948 to 2650 of the family's 2925-position model. Lineage: Bacteria; Pseudomonadati; Pseudomonadota; Gammaproteobacteria; Enterobacterales; Enterobacteriaceae. The record is from RNAcentral.
UGCAAACUGCGAAUACCGGAGAAUGUUAUCACGGGAGACACACGGCGGGUGCUAACGUCCGUCGUGAAGAGGGAAACAACCCAGACCGCCAGCUAAGGUCCCAAAGUCAUGGUUAAGUGGGAAACGAUGUGGGAAGGCCCAGACAGCCAGGAUGUUGGCUUAGAAGCAGCCAUCAUUUAAAGAAAGCGUAAUAGCUCACUGGUCGAGUCGGCCUGCGCGGAAGAUGUAACGGGGCUAAACCAUGCACCGAAGCUGCGGCAGCGACGCUUAUGCGUUGUUGGGUAGGGGAGCGUUCUGUAAGCCUGUGAAGGUGUGCUGUGAGGCAUGCUGGAGGUAUCAGAAGUGCGAAUGCUGACAUAAGUAACGAUAAAGCGGGUGAAAAGCCCGCUCGCCGGAAGACCAAGGGUUCCUGUCCAACGUUAAUCGGGGCAGGGUGAGUCGACCCCUAAGGCGAGGCCGAAAGGCGUAGUCGAUGGGAAACAGGUUAAUAUUCCUGUACUUGGUGUUACUGCGAAGGGGGGACGGAGAAGGCUAUGUUGGCCGGGCGACGGUUGUCCCGGUUUAAGCGUGUAGGCUGGUUUUCCAGGCAAAUCCGGAAAAUCAAGGCUGAGGCGUGAUGACGAGGCACUACGGUGCUGAAGCAACAAAUGCCCUGCUUCCAGGAAAAGCCUCUAAGCAUCAGGUAACAUCAAAUCGUACCCCAAACCGACACAGGUGGUCAGGUAGAGAAUACCAAGGCGCUUGAGAGAACUCGGGUGAAGGAACUAGGCAAAAUGGUGCCGUAACUUCGGGAGAAGGCACGCUGAUAUGUAGGUGAAGUCCCUCGCGGAUGGAGCUGAAAUCAGUCGAAGAUACCAGCUGGCUGCAACUGUUUAUUAAAAACACAGCACUGUGCAAACACGAAAGUGGACGUAUACGGUGUGACGCCUGCCCGGUGCCGGAAGGUUAAUUGAUGGGGUCAGCGCAAGCGAAGCUCUUGAUCGAAGCCCCGGUAAACGGCGGCCGUAACUAUAACGGUCCUAAGGUAGCGAAAUUCCUUGUCGGGUAAGUUCCGACCUGCACGAAUGGCGUAAUGAUGGCCAGGCUGUCUCCACCCGAGACUCAGUGAAAUUGAACUCGCUGUGAAGAUGCAGUGUACCCGCGGCAAGACGGAAAGACCCCGUGAACCUUUACUAUAGCUUGACACUGAACAUUGAGCCUUGAUGUGUAGGAUAGGUGGGAGGCUUAGAAGUGUGGACGCCAGUCUGCAUGGAGCCGACCUUGAAAUACCACCCUUUAAUGUUUGAUGUUCUAACGUUGACCCGUAAUCCGGGUUGCGGACAGUGUCUGGUGGGUAGUUUGACUGGGGCGGUCUCCUCCUAAAGAGUAACGGAGGAGCACGAAGGUUGGCUAAUCCUGGUCGGACAUCAGGAGGUUAGUGCAAUGGCAUAAGCCAGCUUGACUGCGAGCGUGACGGCGCGAGCAGGUGCGAAAGCAGGUCAUAGUGAUCCGGUGGUUCUGAAUGGAAGGGCCAUCGCUCAACGGAUAAAAGGUACUCCGGGGAUAACAGGCUGAUACCGCCCAAGAGUUCAUAUCGACGGCGGUGUUUGGCACCUCGAUGUCGGCUCAUCACAUCCUGGGGCUGAAGUAGGUCCCAAGGGUAUGGCUGUUCGCCAUUUAAAGUGGUACGCGAGCUGGGUUUAGAACGUCGUGAGACAGUUCGGUCCCUAUCUGCCGUGG